This 26-nucleotide non-coding RNA is filed under the name Mus musculus (house mouse). Lineage: Eukaryota; Metazoa; Chordata; Mammalia; Rodentia; Muridae. The record is from RNAcentral.
UCCAAGGCUUGCUGUGGUAGAACUAG